Molecule: long non-coding RNA, 705 nt
Organism: Paramacrobiotus metropolitanus
Lineage: Eukaryota; Metazoa; Tardigrada; Eutardigrada; Parachela; Macrobiotidae
Exons: 3
Source: RefSeq, a predicted model, not a curated record
CGAAGCAGAAUUGUGUUCUUUAGUAAUAACCGUCAACUGCGAGCCAGGAAAACAACAAGGCCCUGCGUGCUAAGGCGGAACUGCCACAGUGGACGAGCUUUUCACCAUGCCCUCGUUUCCAGCUUUAUUAUGCUGUGUUUUCUUGGCAUCAGUGUCUGCCAUCGUGUUAUGUCCGUCUCCCACCAAUUAUGGUCCUGCAACUACCGUUGCAUCCUUCAAUACAACAACACCAAAGUACCCUUGGAGCUGUCCUGGAGAUGCGCAUCCCAGUAGCCACAACGAAAGCGCAGGCUGCUGUUGGAGUGAUCGGUGCCAGGAGCUCCACGGAUUCUGCUGCCAAGUGGCCCGUGAAGACCCUUGUUCAUGUGCCGGAUCAUGUUGUAAGGAGUUCGCGGCUUUCUUAUGUAAUAUUACCACAAACGCCACCUGUCCAAAGUAGUCUACCCCUAAAUACAGUAUUUCUCCUUGUAACAAAUCAUCGUAUCAUUGUGAAUUCCAACGUGUUCAAAGUUUAUUCAUCACAUAUUUAUACUGCCAGCAUGCUGUACGCCGGCGGCAUCUUUAUCUUACAAAAGCAAAUUCUGUUUUCAGUAAUUUUAAUAACGCAAAUACUGUGUUCAGUAAUUCUGAUAACGCCAAUUCGGCAACUUGCCCUGGAACCAGGUCUAGAAUUUUACAGUUCGGUGUACCGUUGUGUCGCGUGUU